AGGGUGGAAACCAUUUCAUUGCUGCUGGGCUCCCGGGACGUAGAUCAUUGUCUGAGAUAAUAAUAACUGCUACUUUGAAGACUUACUCUCAGGACCAAAUAGGAUCACAGCUGUGACAAGUGUUUUGGGAUCGUAGACAGCUCCAGCUCUGUGCAGUUACUAGGAUCCUCGACUGAUGAGAAACCAUCUCCAGCUAAGAGGUUGUGAUUGACCACUGAGUAGCUGCCCAAAUUGAGAUGCCCUGCUCAGUACCCAGCCUGACAGGACAAUUGGCCUGCACUGCCCUGGAGGCUGCUGGGAGGGAGCUGGUAGAACUCAUUAUGGAAGGACAGAGCCUCUGAGCACGCUGGGAAUCUGAACUGACAAAGCCCAAGGGCCUGGGAGUUGGAUCACUGGGAAGAGACAGCCCAAGUGUUGUGUGUCCUGGAUGUACAGAGGAAAAUGAAGUUUCAGAAAUUGCUCAGUACCAAAAGAGCUCUGGUAUUGAAAUCCAACUCUGACCCACUCUCCAUGUGGCUUUGGACAUGCAAUUGACCUCUGUGAGGCUCAGUUUUAUCGCCUGCAAAAUAGAGAUGAGAAUAAAUCUCUUUCCCGGAAUAAGAAGUAAACAUGCUGUAACUAUGACAUUGAAGAUCAUCAACAUAACCACUAGCAGCUAUUUGACAUUCUCCAGAUGUCAGAGACCAUUCAAAGAAUGUUAAAAUUGGGCCAGGCACAGUGGUUCACACCUGUAAUCCCAGCGUUUCGGGAGGCCCAGGCAGGAGGGUCACUUGAGCCCAGGAGUUUGAGAUCAGCCUGGACAACAUAGUGAUAACCCUCCAUCACUAUAAAGAAUUAGAAGGGUUUGGUGGUGUGCAUCUGUAGGCCCAGCUACAAGGGAGGCUGAAGUGGGAGGAUCGCUUUAGCCCAGGAGUUUAAAGUUGCAGUGAGCCAUGAUCAAGCCGCUGCACUCCAGCCUAGGCAACAGAGCAAGAUCCUCUCUCAAAUAAAAUAAAACAAAAUAAAAAUAAUAUUAAAA
Cebus imitator (Panamanian white-faced capuchin) is the source of this 1018-nucleotide long non-coding RNA. RefSeq lists it as uncharacterized. The transcript has 3 exons. Lineage: Eukaryota; Metazoa; Chordata; Mammalia; Primates; Cebidae. The record is from RefSeq and is a predicted model, not a curated record.